GUAGUUUGCCGGUCCUUCUUCUUCAGGUACAGUCAUUUAUUUCUUCCCUGAUAAAAUAAGUUUACAAUCCGAAAACCUUCUUCCCUCACGCGGCGUUGCUGGGUCAGGCUUGCGCCCAUUGCCCAAUAUUCCCCACUGCUGCCUCCCGUAGGAGUCUGGACCGUGUCUCAGUUCCAGUGUGGCCGAUCAGCCUCUCAGCUCGGCUACCCAUCGUCGGCUUGGUGGGCUGUUAUCUCACCAACUACCUAAUGGGACGCGAACCCCUCUAAAAGCGAUAAAUCUUUGACCUCUUCCCGAUGCCGGGUUGUGGUCUUAUGCGGUAUUAGCAGUUGUUUCCACCUGUUAUUCCCCACUCUUAGGCAGGUUGUUCACGCGUUACUCACCCGUGCGCCACUAGAAUUAUCAAUUCCAUCCGAAAACUUCCUUAAUAAUCCCCGUUCGACUUGCAUGUGUUAGGCACGCCGCCAGCGUUCGUCCUGAGCCAUGAUCAAACUCUGA
RNAcentral lists this ribosomal RNA (498 nucleotides) under uncultured bacterium. RNAcentral describes it as "partial 16S ribosomal RNA". The record is from RNAcentral.